This is a long non-coding RNA of Anas platyrhynchos (mallard), 4496 nucleotides long. RefSeq lists it as uncharacterized. NCBI's taxonomy places the organism in Eukaryota, Metazoa, Chordata, Aves, Anseriformes, Anatidae. The record is from RefSeq and is a predicted model, not a curated record.
AAAAAAAAAAGAAGUGCAAGGGAAGUCCAUAACCGCUCCCCGGCUGCAAAGCCCGCGGACUCCGCGGUUGUCUGCCGGGCAGACAGACAGACAGACAGGCAGGCGUACGGACACACAGCCGCGCCGCUUCCCCCCGCAGCGCCGAGGGGAGGGGACGCGCAGGCAGCCGGGGGCACCCCCGAUGGCUCUGUUGCAAUUCCGCGGCUCCCUUCCCCGCACGGGAACCUCGCGGCGCCUCGGGCAGCCGAGCCAGCAGCGCGGAGCUGCGGCCCCCCCGCCCCCCGGGACUCCGGCGCUGCGUCCUGCGGCCUCCCUCAGGCCCGCCGAACCCGGCACCGGCAGCAAGAGAAGGGGCUGAGCUAGGCAAAGGCUUUUUCUUUAAAUAUAUAUAUAUACAUUUAACCAAAAAAAUAAUAAUUAAAAAAAAAAAAAAGGAAAAGAAAGAAAAGCAAGCAACCAACCGACCCCCAACCCCCAGCGAGCACCCAAAGGAAGCAGCCUCCACCCGCAGUUUCGGGACUUGCUGCCAACCUCCGGCUCUCCUUCGGCCCCGCCGGCCCCGGGGCAGCGGAGCCGCCCGCUGCAAUCCCCACGCCGCUGCCUGCCGCCAACGAGAUGGGGAAGAAAAGGAAAAUCCGGGCGGGCAGCGGAGUCAGGUCUAAAUUGAAUGUACAGAACCAUUCCUUUCUCUGCUUAAUGUAACACUUGCAGCAAAAGCGCUUGAAGCAAUUGAAAACUACAUCGAAGUUUUGAGUAGUCUCGAUAAGAAGCGCUAGGCUCGAUGUCCUCGCACUUUAAUGAGGGUAUGCAGCAUCGAUCCGUACAUACUGGCAAACAUUCUUCAGCGCAGAGCUGCGAAUGCCCAGCUCCACACCGAGACCUGCUCAGCGGACAACAGCAACAACAGCUGGGUGCUUGCUGCCCCCAAAUCCUCCAAAUCCCCCAGCUUUGGUUUCGGCAAGAACUGUGCCCCACGCACCAGCCAAGCUUGCCUGCAGAAAGCCCGUUUCCAACACAUGCUGCAGGCACAGGUGGCUCGUGGCAGAGUGAGAUGUGGCCGGGAAAUGCAGUUCCCAAACUGCCUCUCAGAGCUCCCGUCUAAUUGUGUUUGCCAGACAAAUAACUGCCCUUGUCCCAGUCCUGGGCUAUACGUCCAAUUACUCUGUUGGAGUGCAAUGAGAAGGAAAAUUAAAUUUGUACCCUGAACGCUGUAAUAAAUCCAACAUGCCUCUGCUAACGGGGGCUGUGGCGAGGGGCAGUGCCAUGGGGCGUCCUGACACUGCGGUUUCAAGGCACAGCCACUUUUUUACAAACCUGGCCUGGCAGCAUCACCCCUGUCUUCCAGGAGCCAGGCACAAAGCGAGGAUCCUUGGCUUGCUUCGGCAGGCCGGGAGCUGGGGCUAGCAGGGGUAAUGUGUGCUGAGGUGUGGAGCUGCCCCCAGCUUGACCCCACAGGAGGCCGUGCCGAGUCCCCAUCUCCUUGGGAGGGCUGCACACCGACUCGCCUCUCCAGAGCCUGCCACAGGUGCAGCACAGAAACACAAUGCGGGUGGAGGCCCUCCACACCCCCGGCAGCACCGGCACCUCCUGCACGCCCCCAGCUUACACCCCGGGCAGCACCAGGGCUGGUUCAACCAUGCGUCUGCAGUGCCAAGCAGCUGCAAAACCACACCAAAAUUUGCCAAGGGUCCACUAGCGAUAUCGCUGCCACUCACUACCACCAGGCACUAAGCAUCACUCCAAAUUAAUAAAAAGGUGGUUUUUAAAAGAUUAUGAAGUUCUCCAGGGUAAAGGGAAGGUUAAUGCUCCUCUAUAGUCAUGCAAGUUUUGUGUUUGCCGUCAUGAAGAUUAGUUGGUUUUUCUCUCCCUUCUAAAGAGAAAAUUUACGCGAUGAAUAGGAAUCCAGGAAUAAUGACAUCAAUGGAAACACAAGGAUCAAGUGCCAAAUGGGGAUGAGUGCCUGGGACUCAAUAAAGCCCUGCAGGCUCACCCAGCAGAGGCGACGCGACGCGAGGCAGCGCUGGCCUGGCCAUCGGGAGGGGGCUGCAAGCUGGGAUGCCACUGAGGGGCAGCACCCGGCACUGGCCACAGAGACCCUCCAUUAAGAUUCAGAGGUUGCAGACUCAAUUCCUGCCACUGACAGCCCUCGCUGGGGCAUGGCAUUACCCGAUUGCAACACGGGAUUCAGCAGUCACACCAGCAUAAAACCCAGAGCUCACAAUGGGGAACCAGAGCCCUGCAUAUUCAACACCUGCAGCUUCGGGGCUGCAAAGGCCCAGGGAUUUGCAGGUAAAUGGGCUCUUUUCUCUCUCCUUUCCAAAAUUCAGAUGCAGAUCAAUCCGCUGUGCUAUCUCCAGAGCCUGGUGCUGCUCUGACCUGAGAUUAUAUUUUGCUCCAUUUCUAAUAAAAACACAUCAGUUUUGCACCCGAAUGCAACCCCCAUUUUUUCUUUGGGAAACUAAAUGACCCCUUGUUAAGGCGGGCCUGGAUAAACCCCAAACUCUGAACACUUUGGGCUGUUGUGAGGAAGAAGAGCAUUCCUGGCCCCGCCUGCAGCCAGGGACUCACGCCCCCCACCCGGCUCUGCUGCUCCCACCUCCCCCGUCACCUCCGCACAGCGCCCCUGGGCUUCACCCACACGCUGCCUGCCCAAAGCCACCAGGUGCUGCUCCCACAUGGUCAAGGGGGAUGUGGUGCGUGCAGGCACGUCCCCAGCUCCAGCUGUGCCCUGCUUUCCAUCUGUGCUUUGCAUGAGCAGCCCCAGUGCCUCUGAAAGCACAAACCCCUUGGUUUGCCACUGCAGGCAAUGAUAACACAGCUGCUGGUCACCCCCAAUGCCUCUGGGCAGCAGCAGCCCAGGUCCCCGCCAGGACCCAGCCCCGAACAGAGCCUGCCACGGGACACCCCUGCCUGCCCCACGCCUCUGGCAGCAGGGGCAGCUCCAAGGGAGCCCAGGCCUGGCAUGGUGCUUUUUAAAAGCAGGAAGAUACAACGAGGCAGGGCACUCGAGACCCUGCCUCCUUGCUCCCAUCAGCUCACCCUUGAAGCUCUUAAGCCCCUUUGGUCCCUGAACUUAACCACAGGGAGAGGAUUUCAGCACCAACACUUGCCAGCGGGUGUUAGGCAACUUAAUUAAUGUUUGCAGAGCUCUGAGCAGGCAGCGCUACACGUGCACAGAUUGUGUCGCAUUCCAGCCAGGCCACAAAGCCCUGCGGAGGCGCCACCUGCCCCGCGCGGGGUCCCCCCUUGCCGCAGGCACCCCAGGUCUCCCCGGGUUGAGGUGGCCAAGCACAAACCAGCCUCUCCCUGCUGCUCGGCCAUGCCCCAUCGCAGCUGCUGCCCACAGCUAAUUCGAAUAGGAAACAGCUCUACAGAAAGCCAUCUGCAAACCACAGAUAGAAAAUAAAUAAGCUGGCAAACAGCUUCAUGUGCUGCUGUGGAUUUUUGUUUGUUGUUUUUGUUUUAAACCAGUACCCAUCAUUACUGCAGAGGUGGGACAGGAUGCCUCAGGCACACAUUGCCUCUCCCUCAUCCAUUCGGCAUGGGAUUAAAGAACAACCAAUUUAAGGUCAAUGUGGGUCUGGUUCAGGAGAGCAUCCCCAGGCAGACAAACACACAACGGCUCCUUUGCAGAGCACUGAGCUCCCUCUUCAGUAUCUUCUCCACACAGAGACAGAUUUAAAUGUUCCCCUCACUGCUGUUAAAGCACUUUCUAAGAGCUGUAGUGCCCACAUUGCUUCCUUGGCAAAGGUUCACAGUGACUCUGCAACCCCUUCUUCAGCAGGGCCAGCAGAGUACCCAGCCCACCAGAGGAGGGCAGGAGACCCUCCACCAGCCAAGUCCACCCCACCAACACUGACAGUUUAUUGGAGGGUGCUGGGCUCUCCCCUCCCACAUAAUUACACUUAUGACAAAUAACACCUGGUGCUCACCAAGCCCAGGGCUCACGGUGCUCCCCUCCACCUCUCCCACAGCAAGACACCCCCAGAUCUCAGGGUGCUCCGCUCACAUCCCUCCCCACAACCCCUGGGGCUGUGCUACUGGCUGCUCCCACACACACCAGUCCCACUGCGUUCACUCCUGGCUGCACAUGGAAAUCCAGCACCAAGAGAAAACAUCUCCAGUGGUCAGAAAUGGCUGGUAUCUGGUGCCCCGACCUUUCCUCCAGCACCACCCAGGCACAUCCCUGGAGCCACAUUUCUCCCUUGGAGCCUCAAAGCAGAGGUGACCCUAAGGGCCAGCACAGUUCAGGACCCCCACCUCCUUCCCCUAUGUCUCUGACUGGCUCUGCACCCUCCAGGCGCCAUCAGAAGAAUCAUCACUAAAGGUGGGGAGCAGCAAAUGGAGUCAUUUAAGCAGCUUUCUCAGUGGCUCUUUUUGGAGCAAUCUCUCUUUAUGGACUUUCUGAUCGAGUUGCUUUUCCACUUUUUUUUUUUUUAAAUUGAGCUAUAGAAGUGUGUGUAAUGAGCGAUUAAAAGACUAGUCAUGCCCUGUGA